Molecule: ribosomal RNA, 253 nt
Filed under: uncultured bacterium
Lineage: Bacteria
Description: partial 16S ribosomal RNA
Rfam family: Bacterial small subunit ribosomal RNA
Source: RNAcentral
UACGGAGGGUGCAAACGUUGCUCGGAAUUAUUGGGCGUAAAGCGCACGUAGGCGGACCAUCAAGUCGGAUGUGAAAUCCCUCGGCUUAACCGAGGACGUGCAUUCGAAACUGAUGGCCUUGAGUACGAAAGAGGAUCGCGGAAUUCCCGGUGUAGAGGUGAAAUUCGUAGAUAUCGGGAGGAACACCAGUGGCGAAGGCGGCGAUCUGGGUCGAUACUGACGCUGAGGUGCGAAAGCGUGGGGAGCGAACAGG